GGUUGUGCCCUUGAGGCGUGGCUUCCGGAGCUAACGCGUUAAGUCGACCGCCUGGGGAGUACGGCCGCAAGGUUAAAACUCAAAUGAAUUGACGGGGGCCCGCACAAGCGGUGGAGCAUGUGGUUUAAUUCGAUGCAACGCGAAGAACCUUACCUGGUCUUGACAUCCACGGAAGUUUUCAGAGAUGAGAAUGUGCCUUCGGGAACCGUGAGACAGGUGCUGCAUGGCUGUCGUCAGCUCGUGUUGUGAAAUGUUGGGUUAAGUCCCGCAACGAGCGCAACCCUUAUCCUUUGUUGCCAGCGGUCCGGCCGGGAACUCAAAGGAGACUGCCAGUGAUAAACUGGAGGAAGGUGGGGAUGACGUCAAGUCAUCAUGGCCCUUACGACCAGGGCUACACACGUGCUACAAUGGCGCAUACAAAGAGAAGCGACCUCGCGAGAGCAAGCGGACCUCAUAAAGUGCGUCGUAGUCCGGAUUGGAGUCUGCAACUCGACUCCAUGAAGUCGGAAUCGCUAGUAAUCGUGGAUCAGAAUGCCACGGUGAAUACGUUCCCGGGCCUUGUACACACCGCCCGUCACACCAUGGGAGUGGGUUGCAAAAGAAGUAGGUAGCUUAACCUUCGGGAGGGCGCUUACCACUUUGUGAUUCAUGACUGGGGUGAAGUCGUAACAAGGUAACCGUAGGGGAACCUGCGGUUGGAUCAC
RNAcentral lists this ribosomal RNA (704 nucleotides) under Escherichia coli. Its description in RNAcentral is "bacterial SSU rRNA". It matches the Rfam family "Bacterial small subunit ribosomal RNA", at positions 822 to 1526 of the family's 1533-position model. The record is from RNAcentral. Lineage: Bacteria; Pseudomonadati; Pseudomonadota; Gammaproteobacteria; Enterobacterales; Enterobacteriaceae.